GCUGGCGUCUUCGGCGUCCGCAUUGUAAUCUCAAGAAGUGUUUUCCGCUUCGGACCAAGCCUAAGUCCCCUGGAAAGGGGCAUCAUAGAGGGUGAUAAUCCCGUACAUGGCUUGGAGCGCCCGAGGCUUUGUGAUACGCUUUCUAAGAGUCGAGUUGUUUGGGAAUGCAGCUCAAAAUGGGUGGUAAAUGCCAUCUAAGGCUAAAUAUUGGGGAGAGACCGAUAGCGAACAAGUACAGUGAUGGAAAGAUGAAAAGAACUUUGAAAAGAGAGUUAAACAGUACGUGAAAUUGCCAAAAGGGAAGGGUAGGAGGUCAGAGAUGCGGCCUGGGAUUCAGCCUUGCUUUUGCUUGGUGUUUUUCCCAGAUUGCAGGCCAACGUCGGUUUUGGGCACUGGAGAAGGGUAGGAGGAACGUGGCACCCCUCGGGGUGUGUUAUAGCCUCCUACUGGAUACAGCGACCGAGACCGAGGACAGCAGCGUACUCGCAAGAGCGGGCCUUCGGGCACCUUUACGCUUAGGGCGUUGGCAUAAUGGCCCUCUACCAC
Molecule: ribosomal RNA, 546 nt
Filed under: Moesziomyces antarcticus
Lineage: Eukaryota; Fungi; Basidiomycota; Ustilaginomycetes; Ustilaginales; Ustilaginaceae
Description: partial large subunit ribosomal RNA
Rfam family: Eukaryotic large subunit ribosomal RNA
Source: RNAcentral